AAGGACUUUGCCUGGGGCAUUGGCCCUGCCAUGGCGUUCCGGAGGGCUGAGGGCACGUCCAUGAUCCAGGCCCUGGCCAUGACGGUGGCUGAGAUCCCCGUGUUCCUAUA
This 110-nucleotide microRNA precursor is filed under the name Chlorocebus sabaeus (green monkey). Its description in RNAcentral is "miRNA (ENSCSAG00000026756.1)". Lineage: Eukaryota; Metazoa; Chordata; Mammalia; Primates; Cercopithecidae. The record is from RNAcentral.